AGCGUACACGGUGGAUGCCCUGGCAGUCAGAGGCGAUGAAGGACGUGCUAAUCUGCGAUAAGCGUCGGUAAGGUGAUAUGAACCGUUAUAACCGGCGAUUUCCGAAUGGGGAAACCCAGUGUGUUUCGACACACUAUCAUUAACUGAAUCCAUAGGUUAAUGAGGCGAACCGGGGGAACUGAAACAUCUAAGUACCCCGAGGAAAAGAAAUCAACCGAGAUUCCCCCAGUAGCGGCGAGCGAACGGGGAGGAGCCCAGAGCCUGAAUCAGUGUGUGUGUUAGUGGAAGCGUCUGGAAAGGCGCGCGAUACAGGGUGACAGCCCCGUACACAAAAAUGCACAUAUUGUGAGCUCGAUGAGUAGGGCGGGACACGUGGUAUCCUGUCUGAAUAUGGGGGGACCAUCCUCCAAGGCUAAAUACUCCUGACUGACCGAUAGUGAACCAGUACCGUGAGGGAAAGGCGAAAAGAACCCCGGCGAGGGGAGUGAAAAAGAACCUGAAACCGUGUACGUACAAGCAGUGGGAGCCUCUUUUAUGGGGUGACUGCGUACCUUUUGUAUAAUGGGUCAGCGACUUAUAUUCUGUAGCAAGGUUAACCGAAUAGGGGAGCCGAAGGGAAACCGAGUCUUAACUGGGCGUUAAGUUGCAGGGUAUAGACCCGAAACCCGGUGAUCUAGCCAUGGGCAGGUUGAAGGUUGGGUAACACUAACUGGAGGACCGAACCGACUAAUGUUGAAAAAUUAGCGGAUGACUUGUGGCUGGGGGUGAAAGGCCAAUCAAACCGGGAGAUAGCUGGUUCUCCCCGAAAGCUAUUUAGGUAGCGCCUCGUGAAUUCAUCUCCGGGGGUAGAGCACUGUUUCGGCAAGGGGGUCAUCCCGACUUACCAACCCGAUGCAAACUGCGAAUACCGGAGAAUGUUAUCACGGGAGACACACGGCGGGUGCUAACGUCCGUCGUGAAGAGGGAAACAACCCAGACCGCCAGCUAAGGUCCCAAAGUCAUGGUUAAGUGGGAAACGAUGUGGGAAGGCCCAGACAGCCAGGAUGUUGGCUUAGAAGCAGCCAUCAUUUAAAGAAAGCGUAAUAGCUCACUGGUCGAGUCGGCCUGCGCGGAAGAUGUAACGGGGCUAAACCAUGCACCGAAGCUGCGGCAGCGACACUAUGUGUUGUUGGGUAGGGGAGCGUUCUGUAAGCCUGUGAAGGUGUACUGUGAGGUAUGCUGGAGGUAUCAGAAGUGCGAAUGCUGACAUAAGUAACGAUAAAGCGGGUGAAAAGCCCGCUCGCCGGAAGACCAAGGGUUCCUGUCCAACGUUAAUCGGGGCAGGGUGAGUCGACCCCUAAGGCGAGGCCGAAAGGCGUAGUCGAUGGGAAACAGGUUAAUAUUCCUGUACUUGGUGUUACUGCGAAGGGGGGACGGAGAAGGCUAUGUUGGCCGGGCGACGGUUGUCCCGGUUUAAGCGUGUAGGCUGGUUUUCCAGGCAAAUCCGGAAAAUCAAGGCUGAGGCGUGAUGACGAGGCACUACGGUGCUGAAGCAACAAAUGCCCUGCUUCCAGGAAAAGCCUCUAAGCAUCAGGUAACAUCAAAUCGUACCCCAAACCGACACAGGUGGUCAGGUAGAGAAUACCAAGGCGCUUGAGAGAACUCGGGUGAAGGAACUAGGCAAAAUGGUGCCGUAACUUCGGGAGAAGGCACGCUGAUAUGUAGGUGAAGUCCCUCGCGGAUGGAGCUGAAAUCAGUCGAAGAUACCAGCUGGCUGCAACUGUUUAUUAAAAACACAGCACUGUGCAAACACGAAAGUGGACGUAUACGGUGUGACGCCUGCCCGGUGCCGGAAGGUUAAUUGAUGGGGUCAGCGCAAGCGAAGCUCUUGAUCGAAGCCCCGGUAAACGGCGGCCGUAACUAUAACGGUCCUAAGGUAGCGAAAUUCCUUGUCGGGUAAGUUCCGACCUGCACGAAUGGCGUAAUGAUGGCCAGGCUGUCUCCACCCGAGACUCAGUGAAAUUGAACUCGCUGUGAAGAUGCAGUGUACCCGCGGCAAGACGGAAAGACCCCGUGAACCUUUACUAUAGCUUGACACUGAACAUUGAGCCUUGAUGUGUAGGAUAGGUGGGAGGCUUAGAAGUGUGGACGCCAGUCUGCAUGGAGCCGACCUUGAAAUACCACCCUUUAAUGUUUGAUGUUCUAACGUGGACCCGUGAUCCGGGUUGCGGACAGUGUCUGGUGGGUAGUUUGACUGGGGCGGUCUCCUCCUAAAGAGUAACGGAGGAGCACGAAGGUUGGCUAAUCCUGGUCGGACAUCAGGAGGUUAGUGCAAUGGCAUAAGCCAGCUUGACUGCGAGCGUGACGGCGCGAGCAGGUGCGAAAGCAGGUCAUAGUGAUCCGGUGGUUCUGAAUGGAAGGGCCAUCGCUCAACGGAUAAAAGGUACUCCGGGGAUAACAGGCUGAUACCGCCCAAGAGUUCAUAUCGACGGCGGUGUUUGGCACCUCGAUGUCGGCUCAUCACAUCCUGGGGCUGAAGUAGGUCCCAAGGGUAUGGCUGUUCGCCAUUUAAAGUGGUACGCGAGCUGGGUUUAGAACGUCGUGAGACAGUUCGGUCCCUAUCUGCCGUGGGCGCUGGAGAACUGAGGGGGGCUGCUCCUAGUACGAGAGGACCGGAGUGGACGCAUCACUGGUGUUCGGGUUGUCAUGCCAAUGGCACUGCCCGGUAGCUAAAUGCGGAAGAGAUAAGUGCUGAAAGCAUCUAAGCACGAAACUUGCCCCGAGAUGAGUUCU
Molecule: ribosomal RNA, 2772 nt
Filed under: Escherichia coli
Lineage: Bacteria; Pseudomonadati; Pseudomonadota; Gammaproteobacteria; Enterobacterales; Enterobacteriaceae
Description: bacterial LSU rRNA
Rfam family: Bacterial large subunit ribosomal RNA
Source: RNAcentral